Molecule: ribosomal RNA, 428 nt
Filed under: Pareiorhaphis hystrix
Lineage: Eukaryota; Metazoa; Chordata; Actinopteri; Siluriformes; Loricariidae
Description: partial large subunit ribosomal RNA
Rfam family: Bacterial large subunit ribosomal RNA
Source: RNAcentral
UAUAAGUUAAACGGCCGCGGUAUUUUGACCGUGCAAAGGUAGCGCAAUCACUUGUCUUUUAAAUGAAGACCUGUAUGAAUGGUGGAACGAGGGCUUGACUGUCUCCCUCAUCUAGUCAAUGAAAUUGAUCUACCCGUGCAGAAGCGGGUAUUAUAAUACAAGACGAGAAGACCCUUUGGAGCUUAAGACAAAAGACCAACUAUGUCAAGAGUACUAAAAAUGAAACUAAACCCAAUAACACUGGUCCCAGUCUUCGGUUGGGGUGACCGCGGGAGAAAAUUAAGCUCCCAUGUGGACUGGGGCAACCCCCCAAAACUAAGAAAGACAUCUCUAAGGCACAGAACAUCUGACCAUAAAGAUCCGGCUAUGCGCCGACCAACGGACCAAGUUACCCUAGGGAUAACAGCGCAAUCCCCUUCCAGAGUCCC